CGGCCCGGCCCCUGCCCCGGGGGGCCCCGCUCGGAGGGAAGGCUGAGGAAUCACGUCCGUCUUCCAGGGGACAGGGAAGGGAAAUGGCUGUGAUGGAGCCAACUCAGAUUCCGGUGACCUUCGAGGAGGUGGCUGUGUAUUUCACC
Gopherus evgoodei (Goodes thornscrub tortoise) is the source of this 146-nucleotide long non-coding RNA. RefSeq lists it as uncharacterized. The record is from RefSeq and is a predicted model, not a curated record. The transcript has 3 exons. NCBI's taxonomy places the organism in Eukaryota, Metazoa, Chordata, Testudines, Testudinidae.